UAGGGUUCUGUGUGUUUUUAGGGUUUUUAUUUGUUUUUGGAUAGGGCCUGCCUUCCAGGGUGCUAGAGUACAGGUAGGCAUUCCCACACCCAGCUGCCAACAAACUUUAAUAAUUCAAACAAUGCACAAGGCAGUCUCUAAACAUGAUAGAAUUAAAGAAUCAAUAUCUUUAAGAUGUUCCCAAACAUCGUGAAACUAAGGAUACAUUGCUAGAUAACCCAACUGUCAAAGAAGAAUUCAAGAGAAAUUAGCAAGUAUUUUGGAUGCAAUGAAAAGAAGCUAGAUUUAAAGUAUUACUUGGAGGGAAAUUUAUAGCACUGAAAUGUCUAUAAUAAAAAGCUCAGAUAUAGAUGAACUCAGCAUCUAUUUUAAGAAACUAGAAAUUUGGAGGAUGUGGGCCAGAAAUCAGUUUCAGUGGGCAAGAGAAACUGGUUCAUGCCAUCUAUUCUGCAGCACGGUGACUGCAGUCAAUAACAAUGUAUUGAGGUAUUGAAAAAUGCUGAGAGUGUGCAUUUUAAGUGUUCUACCACAAAAAAUUGUGAGUGGAUGUUAUGGCUGUGUCUAGAUGCACCCCCAAAGCGUCAUGCAGUCUCAGAUGGGGCUUUUUCAGAGGUGGAUGAAUUAGAGUGUGAGAUUGAUUCAUGGUACAAUGCUAGACCCAAGGGCACUAGGGUUAAGGGUGUGAGUAUUGCCCACCCUAAAUUGUCUGAAUAAGGUGAAAGGGGCAGGCAGAUGCUGUUAAGGUCUCUAGUUGCUUUUGCUACCUUGUGGUGCCAUGAGAUGUUCUCCUCUGCCAUGCCCCUCUGCCAUGUGCCACUCUGCCUUGGAGCCAGCCAACUAUGGACUGAACCCUCUACGAACUGUAAGCUAAACAAACCUUUCUUCCUUUAACUUUGGGUGUCAAGUAUUUUGUCUCAGCAACAAGAGAAAAGUAAAACGAAGGGCUGAGGAUUUAGCUCAGUGGUUCCACCGCCUGCCAGAGUUCAAUCCCCCGGUUCCAAAAAAGAAGGAAAGAAAAGUAAUGAAGACAGUGAAGCAAUACUUAUCCUACUUAUCUUGAUUUAGCUAUUCCGCAAUGUAUACUGAUUUUGAAACAAGUUAUACAUUACAAAUUAUGCAAUUUUUGUCAAGCAAGUUAAUAAAUGAAGUUUUUUUCAGAAAGGAACUAGAAAAAGAAGAGCAAGUAAAACUAAGUAUGGAGGACAAGGAAGGAAAUAAUAAAGCUUUGAGUGGAAAUCAGUGAAAUAGAGAACAAAAAUAUAGAAGAAAAACAAUAAAAUCCAAAGACUUUUUUUCAGAAAAUCAAUAAAAAUGACAAAGUUCUAGUCAGACUGAUCAAGGAAAAAGGAAAGGAAACACAAGUCAUCUAUAUUAAGAAUGGGAGAUUCAGGGGCUGGGGAUUUAGCUCAGGGGCACCCGUGCCUGCCUCGAAAGCACAAGGUCCUGAGUUCAAUCCCCGGUAUGCCUCCCUCCACGAAAAAAAAAAGAAUGAGAGAUUGGACAUCACAAAUUCUAUGGCUAUGAAGAGAUAAUAAUGGAAUAUUAGGCACAACUCUAUACCAAUAAAUGUGACAAUGUAGACUGAAUGAGCAAAUCCUUAAAAGGCACAGUCUCCUAAAACUCACCCUAGAAGAGACAAAUAAUCUGAAUAGUCCUAUACCUAACAGAGACACUGGAAUUCUCAUCUAAAACUCCAACAAAGAAAACCCUGGGACUGGGGCGUUGGAGCAGGCGGGAAGAGAUCACAAAGGACACUCUGCCCUUUCGGGGUGAGGAGGGCCUGUCCACGACCCUGACUGGUGAGCAGUGGCUCAGGAGCACGUGUGUGUGGCAGCGAGUUGUGCACACUGCACGUGUGCUUUACGGCACCGCAGUGAACCUUCUGACUGGAGGGCCCAGGCCCUUCCCCGCCCUCCUCUCCCCUGCCUACAGCUCUCGGGACCCAAGCAGAGGCACAGCAGCCAGUCCCGAGGACACGGAGACAGCAAGGAGCCACCUGCUGGCCUGCAGCUUCCCUCUGACCACCCUCCGCUGGAAGCUAGAGGACGCAGUGGCCCUGGAGCCUGCCCAGCCCUCACCCAGACCAGGCUGCGCGGCCCUGCAUGGACUCAGACACAGGGCACUCCUGGGAGGGGCCGAGGCUCGGCUCCCCUGGGCAGGGAGGCACUGCCUGCCUCCCAAAGCCACAGGUGCAGGGUGGGCCCUCCUUUCCAAGCUCUUCUCCCUUGCCGCAAGCUGCUGCCGAAGACAGGCGCAGAUUCCAGCUCCUCCGUGUUCCAGCCUGGGCCUCUGCGUUGAGUGAGUCACCAACUGAGCAUACUGGCUGAGCAACUUUAAUGACGACCAGGAGAAUCGGGCUUCAGAGAGACAGGCUUUCCUCCCAUGGGAAAGGAGUUGGUCAGUGUCUGAGCGGGGAGAGUGAUGUGCACCAUGCGCUAGUCCAGGGUGAGGAGGCCCGUCCUCACAGCUCACCCAGCACUGAGGAGCUCCCCAACGUGAGACUUGCAGGGGAGCCUCGGCAGACAGCUGGCCAGUCAUCCAGGGCCGAGUAGGCUGAUGGUGUCCCGGCACCACGAAGAGGGGCAGAGGAAGCCAAGUACAGGACGUCGAAGCCUCCCCCAGUCACAUCUCCUAGGGGAGCUGAGUCGGUGGGGGCGGGGGAAGUGGACCCUGGCCAGGGUCUCCCUGACCCAAAGGAAUGGACAUGGGACCUUCCCCAUCUUCUGUCUGGAGAGACAGGGAGGCUGGGCGUGCAGCAGGAUGUGGUGCCCGGAAGUUCCAGUCAGCUGUCUGCUGAGUAGGGGCCGCCUGUCCUCCCAGCAGCCCCAGGGACCUCCAGGGCUUUCCAGUUUGCUUCACAGGGAUCCUCCAGGCCCCUCCCUACUGACAGUCCCACCGCUAGCUCUGCCCCAGACAAGCUCUCUGCAGCCCGUGCAGAGGAAGAUGAAGAGGAAGAGGAAGGUAUUCCCAAAGCACAAGGGACUCGCCAGUGUCACCUGCUUGUGGGUGGCAGGGCUGGGGUUUGUCCCACUGUGGGCUCAGCCCCCAGGACCAAGGCAGGGAGGGAAAGUGGGGUGAGGUCUUCUGCCUCUCUACAGCCCCCCCCCCCCAGCAGCAGCCCACAACCUCCAGCCCGGAAAGGGCGCACGCAGCAGGAGGAAGCCAGAGCCACUGGAAUGGGGUCCUUCAGUGUCUGGCCCAGCAGCCUGCUCCUGCCUGCACCCCAGAGGUGUCCUUCUCCCCAGCAAUGAGAAAGCUGGCGGCAAGAGCAGAGGGACCGGGCACUGGGGAGAGUCUGGGAUGCCCUCACAUUCCUGCUUGUCUGGGGAGGGAAGGGAAGGGAGAUUGGCUUGGGAGGGUCAGACCAGGGGGACGGCCCCGGGGGAAAAGCGCGACCGGUCGCAGGAACACAGGUUGCUGUGGAAUGUGUUUAUCUUCAUCACCCUAGAGUGUACAUGUCCGCACCAUCUGGAGAAGGGACACACCUGUGAACCCCACCCGAGCCCCUCGCCACGCCGGCCAGGUACAAGGACAACAUGGUGUGAGAUGAAAACUGCCACCAAGGGCCCACAGCAGCCUCAGGCAGCUGGGCUGCAUUGCUGCUGAGACCCCUGGGCACCAGACCACCUGGCAUGGGCUGUGCUGCCCACGGCCCCAAGCUCUGCAGCCAGCGCCUGAAAGGUGACCACAGUGGCACUGCCAGGCGAUGGGGCACCUCUCCCUCCAGCUGGUGGCCAGCACCAGGCUGCCAGCCUUCCCCAGAUUCUGCGUAUCAUCACGUGGGGUGCAGAGGAAGAAGGCAGUGGGAAAUGCCCUAGCAGGCCUCAAAGCCAGGCCUGUCCCCCUGCCCAGGUGGCCCACCAGCUCCCCACAACACUGGGCCAAGCUCCCAGAAUCCCGGAGGGUGCAGCUGGGCCAGCGGGCAGUCAGCACCACGCCCAGGAGGGCAGGACAUGGCUUGCUGGUGGUGAGGAUACAAUGGCCCUUUGCUGGGUGCCACCCAGGUCCACCUGGAGCCCUGCAUCAGUCUGUCCCAGGCCUCUCCCGUGGGAGCUUCCCACCUACCAGGGCAGCCGGCCAUCCCACGAGGGACUCCGGCCAUAUCUGGUCUGCAGGCCUGCGGGCUCCCAGUGUCUCCUCAGCCCACCUCUGGCCCUCGGUGGGGUCCUUCAACAGCACGCGCUGGCCCCCUGCCUCCCCUGGCCGCGCGCCCCGCAUCCUCGGCGACAGGAGUGGCUCCUCGGUGGAUCCCCAGUCCUCUCCGGAGCAGGAGGGCGCGGCCGUCCCCAGCUCUCAGGAGGCCCGGGGCGAGGAGCUUCCUUUACCCCGCUGGGAACCCAGCGGAGUUUCGACAGGGGUGGGGCCCCGGGAGGAGGGUGACGAGGGCAGGCGUCUCCAGGCCUGCGACGCUCCGGCGUAGGCGAUAAGGCGCCCCCGCCCCGCGGUUCCCACAGCCCGAGGGGCCACGCCCGCUGCGCUCUGCUGUGGCUCUGGCUCUCGGGCGGCGCGUCCCGGUGGCCUCUCUCCGGUGGCCUCUCUCUCCGGCGCGCCCCGCUCCGACCUUGUGAGCCGCGAGCCGCCGCGAGCCGCGAGGAGGACGUCUGGGGGCCGCUGUCGCCGCCGCCGGGCGCGCCGGGUCUAGUGGUCCUAAACAUUUCACAAUUGCGCUACAGAACUGUUGAACUGUUAAGAACCACUGGACCCAGCGGGCAAGUCGGCCGACCUCGGCUGGCGCUGUGGAGAGAAGCCUGUCCGCCCUUGGACCGCGUGCGUCGCGAGAGUCGGGGCGACCGCGCCUGCAGGGCCGGAGCGGCGCUGCACACACCGAGCGUCCCGC
RNAcentral lists this long non-coding RNA (4837 nucleotides) under Heterocephalus glaber (naked mole-rat). Its description in RNAcentral is "lncRNA (ENSHGLG00100046728.1)". The stretch from base 4628 to 4707 matches the Rfam family "mir-203 microRNA precursor family". Lineage: Eukaryota; Metazoa; Chordata; Mammalia; Rodentia; Bathyergidae. The record is from RNAcentral.